GGCCCGGUGUUGCUCAACUGUCGGAGCGUGGCGUUAACACUGCCACGGUUAGGGGUUCGAUUCCCACUGGGGCCUA
Molecule: non-coding RNA, 76 nt
Organism: Merluccius polli (Benguela hake)
Lineage: Eukaryota; Metazoa; Chordata; Actinopteri; Gadiformes; Merlucciidae
Source: the annotation of a GenBank genome assembly